RNAcentral lists this ribosomal RNA (449 nucleotides) under uncultured bacterium. RNAcentral describes it as "bacterial SSU rRNA". It matches the Rfam family "Bacterial small subunit ribosomal RNA", at positions 28 to 478 of the family's 1533-position model. The record is from RNAcentral.
GAUGAACGCUGGCGGCGUGCCUAACACAUGCAAGUCGAACGGAGCUGCUUUGAUGAGAUCUUCGGAUGGAUUUAAAACAGCUUAGUGGCGGACGGGUGAGUAACGCGUGGGUAACCUGCCUCACACUGGGGGAUAACAGUUAGAAAUAGCUGCUAAUACCGCAUAAGCGCACGGUUCCGCAUGGAACAGUGUGAAAAACUCCGGUGGUGUGAGAUGGACCCGCGUCUGAUUAGCCAGUUGGCGGGGUAACGGCCCACCAAAGCGACGAUCAGUAGCCGGCCUGAGAGGGUGAACGGCCACAUUGGGACUGAGACACGGCCCAAACUCCUACGGGAGGCAGCAGUGGGGAAUAUUGCACAAUGGGGGAAACCCUGAUGCAGCGACGCCGCGUGAGUGAAGAAGUAUUUCGGUAUGUAAAGCUCUAUCAGCAGGGAAGAAAGUGACGGUAC